AUUGAACGCUGGCGGAAUGCUUUACACAUGCAAGUCGAACGGUAGAGGGGGCAACCCCUUGAGAGUGGCGAACGGGUGAGUAAUAUAUCGGAACGUGCCCAGUCGUGGGGAUAACGUAGCGAAAGUUACGCUAAUACCGCAUACGAUCUAAGGAUGAAAGCGGGGGAUCGCAAGACCUCGCGCGAUUGGAGCGGCCGAUAUCAGAUUAGGUAGUUGGUGAGGUAAAGGCUCACCAAGCCAACGAUCUGUAGCUGGUUUGAGAGAACGACCAGCCACACUGGGACUGAGACACGGCCCAGACUCCUACGGGAGGCAGCAGUGGGGAAUUUUGGACAAUGGACGCAAGUCUGAUCCAGCCAUUCCGCGUGCAGGAUGAAGGCCCUCGGGUUGUAAACUGCUUUUGUACGGACGAAAAGGUUUGUCUUAAUACGAUGAGCUCAUGACGGUACCGUAAGAAUAAGCACCGGCUAACUACGUGCCAGCAGCCGCGGUAAA
RNAcentral lists this ribosomal RNA (495 nucleotides) under uncultured bacterium. RNAcentral's name for it is "bacterial SSU rRNA". It matches the Rfam family "Bacterial small subunit ribosomal RNA", at positions 30 to 524 of the family's 1533-position model. The record is from RNAcentral.